CCCUUGGUCUCUGAAGAUGCAAAUUUAUAGGGGCACUGUCCUAAAUCUACUAUAAUUGUCAAUCAUGCAAAGAUGCAAACUGAAAAAUAUCAAGUAGAGAAUAACAAAACUGGAAAAAUUUCAACAAAAAGAAAAGGAAGGAAGGAAUGGAGGGAAGGAGUGAGAGAGGACAGAAGGAAAAGAGAAAAGAAAGAAGGAAAAAAAGAAGGAAGAGUAAGAAGAAAGAAAACUAUCAGACAGAAGGAGGGUGGACUUGCUGAAUUUCCCCGACAAAGACCUGAAUGUUGUUGUUCAGAAAGUUUCAUGG
RNAcentral lists this long non-coding RNA (307 nucleotides) under Fukomys damarensis (Damara mole-rat). Its description in RNAcentral is "lncRNA (ENSFDAG00000032921.1)". The record is from RNAcentral. Lineage: Eukaryota; Metazoa; Chordata; Mammalia; Rodentia; Bathyergidae.